AGCUCAGUUGGUUAGAGCGGACCGCUCAUAACGGUUUGGUCGCAGGUUCGAGUCCUGCC
RNAcentral lists this transfer RNA (59 nucleotides) under Parvibaculum sp. RNAcentral describes it as "tRNA-Met". It matches the Rfam family "tRNA", at positions 9 to 64 of the family's 71-position model. Rfam says of the family: Transfer RNA (tRNA) molecules are approximately 80 nucleotides in length. Their secondary structure includes four short double-helical elements and three loops (D, anti-codon, and T loops). Further hydrogen bonds mediate the characteristic L-shaped molecular structure. tRNAs have two regions of fundamental functional importance: the anti-codon, which is responsible for specific mRNA codon recognition, and the 3' end, to which the tRNAs corresponding amino acid is attached (by aminoacyl-tRNA synthetases). tRNAs cope with the degeneracy of the genetic code in two manners: having more than one tRNA (with a specific anti-codon) for a particular amino acid; and 'wobble' base-pairing, i.e. permitting non-standard base-pairing at the 3rd anti-codon position. The record is from RNAcentral. Lineage: Bacteria; Pseudomonadati; Pseudomonadota; Alphaproteobacteria; Hyphomicrobiales; Parvibaculaceae.